GAUGAACGCUGGCGGCGCGCUUAACACAUGCAAGUCGAACGAUUAAAGCACCUUCGGGUAUGUAUAAAGUGGCGAACGGCUGAGUAACACGUGGGCAACCUGCCCCUCUCAUUGGGAUAGCCACGGGAAACCGUGGAUAAUACCGAAUACUUCGAGUCUCCCGCAUGGAAGACUCGAGAAAGCUCCGGCGGAGAGGGAUGGGCCCGCGGCCUGUUAGCUUGUUGGUGGGGUAACGGCCUACCAAGGCAAUGAUGGGUAGCUGGGUUGAGAGACCGACCAGCCAGAUUGGGACUGAGACACGGCCCAGACUCCUACGGGAGGCAGCAGUGGGGAAUCUUGCACAAUGGGCGAAAGCCUGAUGCAGCGACGCCGCGUGCGGGAUGAAGGCCUUCGGGUUGUAAACCGCUUUCAGCAGGGACGAGGCGAAAGUGACGGUACCUGCAGAAGAAGCCCCGGCUAACUACGUGCCAGCAGCCGCGGUAAUACGUAGGGGGCAAGCGUUAUCCGGAUUCAUUGGGCGUAAAGCGCUCGUAGGCGGUCUGUUAGGUCGGGAGUUAAAUCCGGGGGCUCAACCCCCGUUCGCUCCCGAUACCGGCAGACUUGAGUUUGGUAGGGGAAGGUGGAAUUCCUAGUGUAGCGGUGGAAUGCGCAGAUAUUAGGAAGAACACCAGUGGCGAAGGCGGCCUUCUGGGCCAUAACUGACGCUGAGGAGCGAAAGCUAGGGGAGCAAACAGG
RNAcentral lists this ribosomal RNA (735 nucleotides) under uncultured Atopobium sp. RNAcentral's name for it is "bacterial SSU rRNA". It matches the Rfam family "Bacterial small subunit ribosomal RNA", at positions 28 to 776 of the family's 1533-position model. The record is from RNAcentral. Lineage: Bacteria; Bacillati; Actinomycetota; Coriobacteriia; Coriobacteriales; Atopobiaceae.